RNAcentral lists this long non-coding RNA (555 nucleotides) under Homo sapiens (human). RNAcentral's name for it is "non-protein coding lnc-CFAP46-3:9". Lineage: Eukaryota; Metazoa; Chordata; Mammalia; Primates; Hominidae. The record is from RNAcentral.
CGCUAACACACAUCACACACUAACACACAUCACACACUAACACACAUCACACGUGCUAAAACACAUCACACAAGCACACAUCACACACACUAACACAUCACACACACGAAAACACAUCACACAAGCACACAUCACACACACUAACACAUCACACACACAAAAACACAUCACACAAGCACACAUCACACACGCUAACACACAUCACACACUAACACACAUCACACACUAACACACACACACAAAAACACAUCACACAAGCACACAUCACACACGCUAACACACAUCACACAAACACACAUCACACACACUAACACAUCACACACACAAAAACACAUCACACAAGCACACAUCACACACGCUAACACAUCACACACUAACACACACAUCACACACUAACACACAUCACACGUGCUAAAACACAUCACAAGCACACAUCACACACACUAACACAUCACACAAGCACACAUCACACACGCUAACACACAUCACACACUAACACACACAUCACACACUAACACACAUCACACGUGCUAAAACACAUCACACAAGCACACA